GUGCCAGCAGCCGCGGUAAUACGAAGGUCCCAAGCGUUAUCCGGAUUUAUUGGGUUUAAAGGGUGCGUAGGCGGGUUAUUAAGUCAGUGGUGAAAGCCUUCAGCUUAACUGAAGAAUUGCCAUUGAUACUGAUGAUCUUGAGUAUGAUUGAGGUGGGCGGAAUGUGUCAUGUAGCGGUGAAAUGCUUAGAUAUGACACAGAACACCGAUUGCGAAGGCAGCUCACUAAGCCAUAACUGACGCUGAUGCACGAAAGCGUGGGGAGCAAACAGGAUUAGAUACCCGCGUAGUCC
Molecule: ribosomal RNA, 292 nt
Filed under: uncultured bacterium
Lineage: Bacteria
Description: partial 16S ribosomal RNA
Rfam family: Bacterial small subunit ribosomal RNA
Source: RNAcentral